This 540-nucleotide ribosomal RNA is filed under the name uncultured bacterium. RNAcentral describes it as "bacterial SSU rRNA". It matches the Rfam family "Bacterial small subunit ribosomal RNA", at positions 355 to 896 of the family's 1533-position model. The record is from RNAcentral.
UGAGGAAUAUUGGUCAAUGGACGGAAGUCUGAACCAGCCAAGUAGCGUGCAGGAUGACGGCCCUAUGGGUUGUAAACUGCUUUUGUAUGGGGAUAAAGUUAGGGACGUGUCCCUAUUUGCAGGUACCAUACGAAUAAGGACCGGCUAAUUCCGUGCCAGCAGCCGCGGUAAUACGGAAGGUCCAGGCGUUAUCCGGAUUUAUUGGGUUUAAAGGGAGCGUAGGCUGGAGAUUAAGUGUGUUGUGAAAUGUAGACGCUCAACGUCUGAAUUGCAGCGCAUACUGGUUUCCUUGAGUACGCACAACGUUGGCGGAAUUCGUCGUGUAGCGGUGAAAUGCUUAGAUAUGACGAAGAACUCCGAUUGCGAAGGCAGCUGACGGGAGCGCAACUGACGCUUAAGCUCGAAGGUGCGGGUAUCAAACAGGAUUAGAUACCCUGGUAGUCCGCACAGUAAACGAUGGAUGCCCGCUGUUGGUACCUGGUGUCAGCGGCUAAGCGAAAGCAUUAAGCAUCCCACCUGGGGAGUACGCCGGCAACGGUG